UACGUAGGGUGCAAGCGUUAAUCGGAAUUACUGGGCGUAAAGCGUGCGCAGGCGGUUCGUUAAGUCAGAUGUGAAAGCCCCGGGCUCAACCUGGGAACUGCAUUUGAAACUGGCGGGCUUGAGUGUGGCAGAGGGGGGUGGAAUUCCGCGUGUAGCAGUGAAAUGCGUAGAGAUGCGGAGGAACACCGACGGCGAAGGCAGCCCCCUGGGCCAACACUGACGCUCAGGCACGAAAGCGUGGGGAGCAAACAGG
Molecule: ribosomal RNA, 253 nt
Filed under: uncultured bacterium
Lineage: Bacteria
Description: partial 16S ribosomal RNA
Rfam family: Bacterial small subunit ribosomal RNA
Source: RNAcentral